CACACUAUCAUUAACUGAAUCCAUAGGUUAAUGAGGCGAACCGGGGGAACUGAAACAUCUAAGUACCCCGAGGAAAAGAAAUCAACCGAGAUUCCCCCAGUAGCGGCGAGCGAACGGGGAGGAGCCCAGAGCCUGAAUCAGCAUGUGUGUUAGUGGAAGCGUCUGGAAAGGCGCGCGAUACAGGGUGACAGCCCCGUACACAAAAGCGCAUGUGCUGUGAGCUCGAUGAGUAGGGCGGGACACGUGGUAUCCUGUCUGAAUAUGGGGGGACCAUCCUCCAAGGCUAAAUACUCCUGACUGACCGAUAGUGAACCAGUACCGUGAGGGAAAGGCGAAAAGAACCCCGGCGAGGGGAGUGAAAAAGAACCUGAAACCGUGUACGUACAAGCAGUGGGAGC
RNAcentral lists this ribosomal RNA (398 nucleotides) under Salmonella enterica. Its description in RNAcentral is "bacterial LSU rRNA". It matches the Rfam family "Bacterial large subunit ribosomal RNA", at positions 144 to 580 of the family's 2925-position model. Lineage: Bacteria; Pseudomonadati; Pseudomonadota; Gammaproteobacteria; Enterobacterales; Enterobacteriaceae. The record is from RNAcentral. RNAcentral also lists the same sequence under 5 other names.